GACGAACGCUGGCGGCGUGCCUAAUACAUGCAAGUCGAGCGGACAGAAGGGAGCUUGCUCCCGGAUGUUAGCGGCGGACGGGUGAGUAACACGUGGGUAACCUGCCUGUAAGACUGGGAUAACUCCGGGAAACCGGAGCUAAUACCGGAUAGUUCCUUGAACCGCAUGGUUCAAGGAUGAAAGACGGUUUCGGCUGUCACUUACAGAUGGACCCGCGGCGCAUUAGCUAGUUGGUGAGGUAACGGCUCACCAAGGCGACGAUGCGUAGCCGACCUGAGAGGGGGAACGGCAACACUGGGACUGAGACACGGCCCAGACUCCUACGGGAGGCAGCAGUAGGGAAUCUUCCGCAAUGGACGAAAGUCUGACGGAGCAACGCCGCGUGAGUGAUGAAGGUUUUCGGAUCGUAAAGCUCUGUUGUUAGGGAAGAACAAGUGCAAGAGUAACUGCUUGCACCUUGACGGUACCUAACCAGAAAGCCACGGCUAACUACGUGCCAGUCGCCGCCGUAA
Molecule: ribosomal RNA, 512 nt
Filed under: uncultured bacterium
Lineage: Bacteria
Description: partial 16S ribosomal RNA
Rfam family: Bacterial small subunit ribosomal RNA
Source: RNAcentral